Molecule: long non-coding RNA, 1883 nt
Organism: Oxyura jamaicensis (ruddy duck)
Lineage: Eukaryota; Metazoa; Chordata; Aves; Anseriformes; Anatidae
Exons: 2
Source: RefSeq, a predicted model, not a curated record
AUUUCUAAGGGGGUUGUGACUUUGUGAUCCUCACAGCACAGAAAAGCUGCUGAUUAGUUACGUUUCCCUUGACAACUUGGGAGCGUAGUGACUCCUCCUGAGAUAAACAGAAAGGAUUAAUCUUGACAAAGCGACUCUGAGAGGUUGGGAACCACAAAGAAGGAAGAGGGGAGUAAUACAAUUAUUUUUGUGCUUUAUGAAUAAUUUGUAGCUGGAAUAAGUAAAAUUACACACAGCAAGCACUCGCAUAUAUUUUCCUCUCUGCCUCUGAGGGAGUUAAACUGUAAACGCGGUGAAGAGAAGCAGUAAGAGUAAAAUUAGUCUACAGCGAGUUGUAUCUUGAAGAACAAUAUGCUCUUGUGUGUCUGCCCCUUCUCACAGGAUAUGGCCCAUCGACUGGAGAUCACAGAUGUCCUCCUGUUGGUAUUUGUGGUUCGCAGCAUGCUGAAAAUCAGAAUAUUUCAGAUUUGUUAACUGGUUUUACUGUGAGUAGUAAUUUCCUUGUUGGAAACAGCCUGUCUGAAUGAUCCAGCCUUCUCAAGUUUGUGCACCACCUGGUGCAGAAAUGCAAGCAGAAAGUAAGAAAAAAAAGCUGAAUGGAUGUGAAAAGUUUAUGAAUAUGCAGAGCUUUGGCACAAAAAAUCAUCUUCAUUCCAGCAGAGCAUUUUCCAUCUCUUUAUUAGUGUGUGAGCUUCCAAGGCCUCGUUUAUAAGGAGCUGCUCCUUUCUGCUUUCCACAGGAUCACACAGGAUGGCUGGGGUUGGCAGGGACCUGAGCAGGCCCCGGCCCAGCCCCUGCUCCAGCAGGGCCACCCAGAGCAGGGUGCCCAGCACCACGUCCAGGCGGCUUCUGAAGGGCUCCAGGGAGGAGACCCCACCGCCUCUCUGGGCAGCCUGAGCCAGGGCCCCAGCACCCCCAUGUUAACAAAGUGCUCUGUGAUGUUCAGACAGAGCCUCUUGGGCUCCAGUUUGUGCCCACGGCCUCCUGUCCUGGCACUGGGCACCACUGGGCAGAGCCUGGCCCUGUCCUCUCAGCACCUCCCUUCAGGCACUGCCAGGCCCUGAUGGGAUCCCCCUGGGCCUCCUCUUUUCCAGGCGGAGCAGGCCCAGAUCUCAGCCCCUCCUCAUAGGAGACGUGCUCCAGCCCCUUCACCAUCUUGCUAGUCCUUCACUGGACUCCCUCGACUAUGCCCAGGUCUCUCCUGUCCCGGGGAGCCCAGGACUGGACACAGCACUCCAGCUGUGGCCUCACAUUUCGGCCUGUGCCAGGGAGCAGGUUCCCUAGCAGGCAGUGAUGCCCAGCUGCAGCUGGUGCAGGUGAAAGCUGGGGACUGUUGGGUUUGGCAGAAAUACAUCCUCAGCCACCAUUCAGAUGGCUUUGGAGGUCCCCAGCACAUAAUCUGCUGUUUUACUGAAGUGUGUUCUCACCAGACUUACCAGGGAUGCAGACAGCACAGGAGGGCACAGCGUUAUGUGAGAGAGUUUGCAUUUGGGUGGGCACAUCCUUCUGGCAAGGGGAAACCAUCCAGAGAAGAAAUCAUUCACUGUACCACCAGAUUACUCAUCUCAGGUUUAGUUUUUAAGUGCUAAACAUUGACUUAAUGCAGCAGGAGACGCAGACUGGGUUCUUCUGCAAGCUGAGGAGAGGAGAGGGAGAAGAUAGGGCACAUGACAAGGCCCUUCAGAAGGAAUCAUGUCACAUGAAACUGCAGUUGAUCCAAGUGGUGCACAUGAAGAUCACACAGAAGAAAUGAUUCUCAGAAAGACGUGAGUAAAGGCAGAGAUGCUCACAGCUCUCUGAAGAAGGUGUGCCCUCUUGCCCUUGGUCUGCAGUGAUGUGGAGGCUCUUAUCGUGAUUUAAAUAAGAGUGGGCUCACAUCAUAU